This 77-nucleotide transfer RNA is filed under the name Photobacterium damselae. Its description in RNAcentral is "tRNA-Arg". It matches the Rfam family "tRNA". From Rfam's summary of the family: Transfer RNA (tRNA) molecules are approximately 80 nucleotides in length. Their secondary structure includes four short double-helical elements and three loops (D, anti-codon, and T loops). RNAcentral also lists the same sequence under 1 other name. The record is from RNAcentral. Lineage: Bacteria; Pseudomonadati; Pseudomonadota; Gammaproteobacteria; Vibrionales; Vibrionaceae.
GCGCUCGUAGCUCAGCUGGAUAGAGUACCUGGCUACGAACUAGGCGGUCGGAGGUUCGAAUCCUCCCGAGCGCGCCA